Molecule: long non-coding RNA, 859 nt
Organism: Haemorhous mexicanus (house finch)
Lineage: Eukaryota; Metazoa; Chordata; Aves; Passeriformes; Fringillidae
Exons: 3
Source: RefSeq, a predicted model, not a curated record
AGGAAGUGCGGCUGACAGGGAAGGGGGACGAGGUGUGCUUGACGGGGGAGCGAACGGGGCACCGCGGGCAGAGCUGCCAGGGAACGGGGCACCGGGCCGGCUGACCGACAAGGGGCCCGGCAGAUGCAGCUGCGAGCGAAGCGGAUAAUCCCAGCUGCACGGCAGAAGAAAAUUCCUACUUGGUUAUCCCAAAAGAAGGAGGAAAAGCCCCUUAAAUCAGAGACAACAGGCCUGAGGACUCCUCCUUGCACCUCCAGCCUCGUAAAUGACAGCGGCAAUGAUUUGUCUCCACCUUGCAAGUCAUUAACCUGUUCAGCUGUUGUCAAAGUCCUUUACGGAAGAUGCCAUCUCCAUGGGGACCCAAAGCUCCAGGCAGAAAUCAGGCAGGCUUCAGAUGCCCUUGACAUGGAAGUUUUCCUCGCUGGUGGAGAGAAAACUGGGGCAUGGGAGCUGGAUUUUCUCUCGAGCUGGUGACAGGAAUGCCAGGGCUGGAGCCAAGGAGGACUCGCUGGUGCUGACUGUCAGACCUGGAGUUUCCUCCUGCGGUCUGAAAGCUGGGAAUGCAAACAAGGUGUGCUCCUGCAGGAGAGCCACACCUCGGAGAGGAUCCUCGUGGAACAGGGCUGUGGCUGCUCCAAGGAAAGGUGCAGGAGGCCAGGAAUAAAUCUGCCUGAGAGCUUGCCCUUUUCACAGUGAUGAAAUUGAAGUCAUACAAAAGGCAUUUUUAAUUAUUAUUAAUUUUUAAAGGCAUUUCAAUAAAUACCUGUCUCCUUUUCUAUCUUCAACCUACACUACACAGGAAAAAAAAAAAAGGAAAUUCAGUGUAAAACCCCACAACCUGCAAAUAAAGUUCAGUUUU